This 1446-nucleotide small RNA is filed under the name Oryza sativa Japonica Group (Japanese rice). RNAcentral's name for it is "sRNA Os01g0119800". The record is from RNAcentral. Lineage: Eukaryota; Viridiplantae; Streptophyta; Magnoliopsida; Poales; Poaceae.
GAAAAAGAAAAGGAAAGGCAAAAUGGAGGGGGAGCAGCUUCUUGUGUUUGUCGCCGGUAGCGGCCGGCUAAGAGCAGGAGGAGGAGCUAACGGAGGCCGCCGAGGAAGACGCUGGCCUCGGAGCGGGAGGAGCUAACGGAGGCCGCCGAGGAAGACGCUGGCCUCGGAGCGGACGGGCAUCCGGCGGCUGCGAGCUUUGCGGCCGGCAUAUCCAGCGAGGGAGGCGAUUGCGACGAAUCGGCCGGGAGGCGCCGGAUCUGGUGGCUUCGUCACCGCAGAUGGCCGGCCGAGCUCAGGACGACUCGGGCGCCAUGUCGAGAGACGUGGUCGACAGCGAGAAGCGGGCCUGACUCGCGAGCAUGACGCCAUCCCACCAUGCUGCAACACAAUCAACACCGGUCCAAAGAAACAGAGAAGAUACAUGCCUCCAUGAGGCCUGAGCAAGAUACAAUGACAUUCCGAUACAAUGACAUUCCUUCACAGCUUUCCAAUUAAAAUAUCUCCAGAUUGUUGCUUCCUACAUACUAAACAUAAGAAUGCAAUGAUAGUAUGAAGAAUAAAAUAUUAAGUCAAUUUUUGAUCAAUUUGUCUUACAUGCAUCUCCGAAUCUAAUUUCCCGUGCUUAUAUCCGCCAGUGGGUUUGAAAGCCUACAAAAAUAAUCUCAUUUCAUCUUUUAAACUUGAUUGAGAAAUAUUUUAGGUUGAGAAAGAUUUUGUCAAGAUUUGAGAUCCACUUACAUGUCAUUGAUGUAUUGUCUGUUUGGGGUGCGAUCAGCAAGUUCAGCUAGUCCCUGUAAUAUCUUUGGCAGGAAAUUUUUCAUGUGUAGAGCAAAUGCUGCCUCAAUUUGUUCUUCUGGGAACUGUUUAGUGAAAAAACAGUGUUAGACAUAAAUAUGUUUUCACUAGUGAAAAAAUAAUGGAGUAAGUAUUAUACUAACCCUGUUUCUUGCAUGCUUCAAAAAAUUAUUGGCAAAAUGAAGACAACCUUUUGCAUUAUCAGUAUAUAAGGGAUUUUUCCAUUGUAAUGGUUUCCCGGAUGGUUGAUAGAUAAGAACAUUAUUGAGUUCAGGAACAAGCUGCGCAGAACCUUUCCAAGCAUAUGCAUAUGGUCCCAUACUAGCUCUUAAACUAGCGUGUGAAGCAUAUGCUGCCAUAGCUUUUAUAUUAGCCUGAAGAUGUGCAGGGUGUCUAUGUACCACAUUGUCUAAAAUCAUCAAUUGUUUCAUCCUAUCAACAUAUGUUUCAAUACUAGGAUGAUUUGUGACAAACGCAACUAUUGCAUCGUUUCUGGAGUUCACCCCACAAGGACAUGUUCUUAGGAAUUCAAGGAGAUGAUCGAAAUGUACUGGAUACACUGGUCCAAACCUUGUAGAGAAUAUAUUGUAGAGACUAGUAUAAUCCCGAGCACAUGGAUCUUUAUCAAAUGCCACUACAGGGACAUUUUCU